ACAUACGACCAUACGCGGCAGAGAACUCGGGAUCCCCUCUGCUCUCCCAUAGAUAAGCUGCUGACGGCGGAGUUAGUACUCAGGUCGGUGACGACUGGGGAAUCCUCCGUGUUGUAUGUC
This 120-nucleotide ribosomal RNA is filed under the name Thermochaetoides thermophila DSM 1495. The record is from RNAcentral. Lineage: Eukaryota; Fungi; Ascomycota; Sordariomycetes; Sordariales; Chaetomiaceae.